RNAcentral lists this unclassified non-coding RNA (5104 nucleotides) under Haliotis rufescens (red abalone). Its description in RNAcentral is "mAP kinase-activating death domain protein-like, transcript variant X3". The record is from RNAcentral. Lineage: Eukaryota; Metazoa; Mollusca; Gastropoda; Lepetellida; Haliotidae.
GGCGCUGAUGGUUGUUUUGACGUCAAAGGAUGCUUAACAUAUCGUCGGGUUGACACUUGCUGAUUUUCCAGGUCAAAGACCAUGCAAGAACGAAUAAGAUGACGUGUAACAAGACUCAUUGAUAAACCUUUGAUAAAUAUGGUCCGAGUCACAAACAGAUAUAAACUCUUGAUCCCAUGAUGUGUGAGAAGAAAUACUUCUGCCCACGACUACUUGAUUAUAUUGUUAUAACUGGUAGUCGCCACCCCAACCAUAACAACCAUGUUACCCAGACUCCAGAACUACUCCGUCGCUAUCCCCUAGAGGAUCACAAAGAUUUUCCCUUACCCACAGAUGUUAUCUUCUUCUGCCAGCCCGAAGGAUGCAUCAGCGUGGGACCAAAGCGAAUGAGCCUCCGUGAGACAACAUCUUUUGUCUUCACACUGACGGAAAAGGAUUCAGGCAUUGUUAGAUAUGGCAUCUGUGUUAACUUCUUUCGUCCAUUUGAAAAAAAGAGUUAUUCUUCAGACUGGCAGAAAAGUGACAGAUUAAAUCUUUCCAUAGGUAGCACCAACUCAACAGAUAUUGCUAGUUCCUUGGAAUUCGAGAAACCAAAGUCACCAAGGGCGAAACGGAAAUCACGGAGUGCAAGCCGUGUCCGCAAUAACACUCUGACAUCGUUAUGUAUUGUUAGCCAUCAUCCUUUCUUUUCUACAUUUAGAGAAUGUUUGUUUAUACUGAGGAGACUGAUUGAGGCAUGUCAUGACAGAAGUUGUACCAAGAGGAUUGGAGGAUCCAAGGCACUGACCAGGGACACAGUGUGGGGUGUGUUGACAGGGCUGUGUAGUGACAAUAUCUCGUCACUUGUGAUGCAUGAGGUGCGGGAGAUUGAGACUUGGAUUCUGCGACUCCUCAGUGCCCCUGUCCCUGUUCCUGGCAAGACUAGGGUAGAGGUGAGCAUCCUACCAAAGGACCUGCAGCCACCAAUACUGUUUGCCUUACCAGACCACACCCGCUUUACACUCAUAGACUUCCCCCUUCACCUGCCUCUGGAACUACUGGGAGUGGACACAUGUCUCAAGGUGCUGACCGCAAUCAUACUGGAACACAAGGUGGUGCUGCAAUCCCGGGACUACAAUGCCUUAUCAAUGAGUGUGAUGGCAUUUGUGUCCAUGCUGUAUCCCUUGGAGUACAUGUUCCCAGUCAUCCCACUACUACCUACAUGUAUGGCAUCAGCAGAACAGUUGCUGCUGGCCCCAACCCCCUACCUGAUUGGUGUUCCUGCCAGCUUCUUCCUCUACAAGAAGGACUUCAAGGUGCCUGAUGAUGUCUGGCUCAUAGACCUGGACUCCAACAAGAUUACCAUGCCCACAAAUGCAGAGGUGCUUCCUCCAAUGCCGGAUACUGAAGGCGGUAGCCUUAAGACGCAUCUCAAGCAGGCACUUGCGAGCAUGAGCAUGACUCCUCAGCCAAUCAAAAACCUUGAUGCUCUUGCUCAAAAUCCAGAGGCAUGGCAACGACGUGAAAGUUUCUCUUCACAGACUGGAUUCAACCCGCUCAUCUACGGCAAUGAUGUGGACUCAGUAGAUGUUGCUACCAGAGUAGCCAUGAUCCGAUUCUUCAACUCUGCCAACAUCAUGGGUAACUUCUGUGAACACACCCGUACUCUGCGCCUCUAUCCACGUCCUGUGGUGGCCUUCCAGCUGUACAGCUUCCUCAAGUCAAGGCCCAUCAAGACUCACUUCACAGCCAGGCUUGCUCGCACACAGGCUGUCGAAUAUUUUGCUGAGUGGUCUUUGAGUCCACAGAAUGUGGUUUAUCUACGUGUACAGACAGCGGUAUAUGACCCGUCACUGAUUGGAGACAAACCAAAGUGGUACGCACAUCAGCUACAGCCCAUAGACUUCAGAGUAUAUGAUGAGAAUUCUUCAUUGGGUGCUGCCAUCUCCUCAGCCAAUGAGAUUCACAGUGAUGAAAUUCCUACAGAUGAGAGUGGCAGUGACAGCGAAGGGGCAGAGAGCACCAGCUCAUCCUAUUCCUCACUUAGUGACUUUGUGACUGAUAUGGUCAACAGUGAGAUUGACGGAGAGUCUCCAGCAUUUUUACCUGAGAAUCAAGUGUUAGCUGUAGAUGAGUCAAAAGUAUUCUGUCCCCCAAACAAGUUGCACGUCCCUGAGACAACAACCGCAACCAGUGACUCAGCCCUGUCUCUCCCUGACAGUGAUCUCAGUUCGUCAGAAUCCUCUAGCCCUACCUACAGCCAUGGUUCACCUCCACGAGACAGGAACAGCAAGGAUAUGGAGGAUGAAAACACAGUAUUCCGGUAUGAUUCUGGUAAUGUAACUGCCACCAGUCAUUCACAAAGCAGUCGACCAGAUAGUGGAGGUUGGGCACAAACUGUCUCUGAUCCACUCAGAAAGUCCCCUUUACCCCAAGGUGUGAUACGGAGCAACAACUCUGCGUUUGAGACAUAUGAGAAACCACGCAUCAGUCCUAAUCUCCCAGGCGCAAAUAGGAGCCUGCUAAAUCGCCAGCAGAGAGGGGGUAGCACGUCAAGUGGUGGCUCAAGUGGAUCUACCAAGAAGGGUUUUAGGUCCCUGUCUGACCGUGACUCUGACCGGUCAUCUCCAGCCUCCUCCAUCAUUUCCACCAUCAGUAACGAGCUGACUGACAUGGCACAAUCAGCCACAAACACCAUGUCAGAGCUGUUUGGAAGCAAUAAGGCUGCCACACCAUCUCCACCACCUCAGCCCAGCAUAAACAAGCCAGCUGCCAAACCAUACACACCUCUUGGUACACGGAAAGCUCUUGUUGAGAAGUCUGGAUUGGUCAAACAUGCUACCAGUCAGAAGAAAAAAGAAACUGUGAAACCAGUAGCACAGGAAUCUCGGGGUUCUUCAAACAGUGAGAAUCAGCAGUUCUUAAAGGAGGUGGUCAAUUUUAUCCUGGAUGGGCAGGGAAUGGGAUGGCUCAAACUCAACCGUGUGAAGAAGCUGAUGGAAGAUGAGAACUACAGGAACUUUGUCAUCAGUCGACUCAACCGUAACCUGGACAAAAAGAUUACUGAUGAUGCAAAUCACCUUGAGGAUGUGUGUAUUACAAAGAAUGUGUUCAAAGGCAUGCUGGCAAUGACGAAGGCAAUUGUCCAUGGUCUGGAGCACACAUUUCAGAACCAUGGCCUUGGUGGAAUGGCAAGUGCUUUCAUGGUGAUGGAGAUCCUACACACGCACUACUGGGCCCGAGAGGUCACCAGCAGUAAUCGCAGUGACACCAGCCUCACACCAGAUGUGUCAUCCCUGCAUGGAAGUCAUGAGAGUCUUUCAUCCAAGGGAGAUGAUGCCCAGAGGACAGACAACCAAAGUCUCACAGAUACAGACCAUAUGCCUGCUACCACCAGCCUGAACCCGUCCCCUCGCCAACCCCCACUGUCCCCCAACCGACAGGACAGCACAGGCUGGUGGGCAGAGCGAGAGCGAGACCAGUCACAGCCAAUCAGUGCCGCCUGCAUUUCUGACCAGUCGUCCUCUAGUACCAGCACCAGCACUGAGUCAGGUUCUCCCGUGAUUGUAAAUGGCGAUGAGUUUGAGAACAUAGAGAUCCCUGUGAUGUCAGACAGCAGUGGCCACUCGGAAAACUCUGGAGUUGGAGGAAGUAAUGGAGGGAUUGCCAGACAAACAGGCCUCAGCCCACAGAUGACAGACAUGAACAGGAAUAUUGGCAAACCACAGGCCCAAACGUGUGAUAUCAUUGUGACAGACACAAGCUCUUCCAGAGAAGGGGAGGACAUGAUGCACGAACUUGUCAAGAACAAAGAGUUGAUUAAGACCAGCAGACUAGAUAAGUUUAACAGCAUGGACUCCGAAAUAUCAGAGGCUAGCACUCUGGUCAGCACCAGCUCAGACAACAAUGAUGAGAACCGAAAAAGGAGUCGAAUCAAUCAUCACUCUAUCAGGGGAACCUUGUCUGACAGUGAGAUGGAGGGCUCAACUGGGCAGUCUGCACGUCACAGCAAGAGGAACCGUUCUCCAAGUGUUUGGAGCUCCAAGAGCAAUCUCAGUACAGGAUUUCGCUACAGUGAAGGCAAGAUGAUCAACACAAGCUGUCCACAGAACCCGGAAUUCUACAAAACAUACCUGUUUGAAGGCUUGCUAGGCAAAAGUAGAAGUCGAUUGUUUGACCAGAUGCAGUUUUGGGAGGACUUGUUUCUAGAUGCUGUGGCACAGGAGAGAGACAUCAUUGGCAUGGACCAACGUCCCUCAGAGAUGAUAGAGCGGUAUCGGUCUCUUGGUGACAUGGAGCGGAAACGUCUGGAACAUGAUGAGGACCGUCUGUUGGCCCAUAUGUUGUACAACUUGGUGGGCUUCAUGGUGAUGAUGAAUGUUCACAAGACUGAGGUGAAGAAGAAGGUACGGCGUCUGCUGGGCAAGUCUCACAUUGGACUCAUGUACAGUCAGGAUGUCAACAACCUCCUGGAUCAGAUCAACAAUCUGCAUGGUAAUGAUAUUGACCUGCGUCCUCUUGGCAGUCGGCAGAUGCAGAAACAGUCUUUCACUGUUCACUGGGGUACUGACAACAGUGGUGACAUGCUAUUCAUGGAGGUAUGUGAUGACUGCCUGCUGUUGCGCAGUGUGACAGGCACAAUACAUGACAGAUGGUGGUUUGAGAAGCUUGUCAACAUGACGUACUGCCCCAAGACAAAGGUUCUCUGUCUGUGGCGCAAACAAGCAGACAAAGUACAGCUCAACCAAUUCUAUACCAAAAAGUGCCGAGAGCUGUACUUCUGCGUGAAGGAAUCGAUGGAGAAGGCUGCAACCCGCAACACUGGGAAGCUGCCAGGUCCUGAGCUAGGUGGGGAAUUUCCAGUGCAGGAUCUCCGGUCAGGUCAGGGAGGCCUCCUGCAAGUCUGCAUGGAGGGAAUAGGCCUGCUUCUUGCCAACAGCAAAAUCCCAAAACUAAACAAGUAAUCCAGCACAAAUUCAAAUCCAGCAUGGCCAACGAGGCUGCACUCAUGAUGCAUAGGAUAUUUUCUGUGCAAUACGCCAAGUUACGAGCCAAGGCCUUACUUUUACCUGAUGAAAAUGGAAACAGCUGACCAAAUGUGCUAUGCAGUCCUCUGUCUGUUUUC